UUGUAGCCUGCUAUGGUAUAACUUAGUGGCAGUCGGGUGAGUAAUAUAUAGGAAUCUACCUAGUAGUACGGAAUAAUUGUUGGAAACGGCAACUAAUACCGUAUACGCCCUACGGGGGAAAAAUUUAUUGCUAUUAGAUGAGCCUAUAUUAGAUUAGCUAGUUGGUGGAGUAAUAGCCUACCAAGGCAAUGAUCUAUAGCUGAUCUGAGAGGAUGAUCAGCCACACUGGAACUGAGAUACGGUCCAGACUCCUACGGGAGGCAGCAGUGGGGAAUAUUGGACAAUGGGCGAAAGCCUGAUCCAGCCAUGCCGCAUGAGUGAAGAAGGCCUUUGGGUUGUAAAGCUCUUUUAGUGAGGAAGAUAAUGACGGUACUCACAGAAGAAGUCCUGGCUAACUCCGUGCCAGCAGCCGCGGUAAUACGGAGAGGGCUAGCGUUAUUCGGAAUUAUUGGGCGUAAAGGGCGCGUAGGCUGGUUAGUAAGUUAAAAGUGAAAUCCCGAGGCUUAACCUUGGAACUGCUUUUAAAACUGCUAACCUAGAGAUUGAAAGAGGGUAGAGGAAUUCCUAGUGUAGAGGUGAAAUUCGUAAAUAUUAGGAGGAACACCAGUGGCGAAGGCGUCUAUCUGGUUCAAAUCUGACGCUGAGGCGCGAAGGCGUGGGGAGCAAACAGGAUUAGAUACCCUGGUAGUCCACGCUGUAAACGAUGAAUGUUAAAUAUGGGAAGUUUACUUUCUGUAUUACAGCUAACGCGUUAAACAUUCCGCCUGGGGACUACGGUCGCAAGAUUAAAACUCAAAGGAAUUGACGGGGACCCGCACAAGCGGUGGAGCAUGUGGUUUAAUUCGAUGCAACGCGAAAAACCUUACCACUCCUUGACAUGAAAAUCAUACCUAUUC
RNAcentral lists this ribosomal RNA (896 nucleotides) under Wolbachia endosymbiont of Formica cinerea. RNAcentral's name for it is "bacterial SSU rRNA". It matches the Rfam family "Bacterial small subunit ribosomal RNA", at positions 73 to 1002 of the family's 1533-position model. Lineage: Bacteria; Pseudomonadati; Pseudomonadota; Alphaproteobacteria; Rickettsiales; Anaplasmataceae. The record is from RNAcentral.